UAAGGAAUAUUGGACAAUGGAGGCAACUCUGAUCCAGCCAUGCCGCGUGAAGGAAUAAGGCCCUAUGGGUUGUAAACUUCUUUUAGACGGGACAAAACCCCUUUACGUGUAAAGGGUUGAUGGUACUGUCAGAAUAAGCAUCGGCUAACUUCGUGCCAGCAGCCGCGGUAAUACGAAGGAUGCAAGCGUUAUCCGGAAUUAUUGGGUUUAAAGGGUGCGUAGGCGGACUAAUAAGUCAGUGGUGAAAGCCUGCAGCUUAACUGCAGAAUUGCCAUUGAUACUGUUAGUCUGGAGUACAGUUGAGGUCGGCGGAAUGUGGCAUGUAGCGGUGAAAUGCUUAGAUAUGACACAGAACACCGAUUGCGAAGGCAGCUUGCUAAGCUGUAACUGACGCUGAGGCACGAAAGCGUGGGGA
RNAcentral lists this ribosomal RNA (415 nucleotides) under uncultured bacterium. RNAcentral's name for it is "bacterial SSU rRNA". It matches the Rfam family "Bacterial small subunit ribosomal RNA", at positions 355 to 767 of the family's 1533-position model. The record is from RNAcentral.